AGCUCUCUCAGCCUGUCCUCACAGCAUCUCGGUGGCCUCCUCUGGCCCUGCUCCAACGGGUCCAUGUCCUUCUGCUGUUGGUGGCCCCAGAGCUGGAGGCAGCACUUGGUGGGGGGGAUCUCCCCAGAGCAAAGCAGAGGGGGAGAAUCCCCUCCCUCAACCUUCUGGCCACUCUUCUUCUGAUGCAGCCCAAGAUGCGGGAGGCUUUCUCAGCUACCAGCACACACUGCUGGGCCACGUGGAGCUUUUCACCCCCCAACACUCCCAAGUCCUUCUCCUCGGGGCUGGUCUCCAUCCCUUCACCCCCCAGCCUGGAUUUGUGCUCAGGAUUGCCCUGACCCACCUGCAGGACCUUGCUCUUGGCCUGGUUGAACUUCCUGAGAUUCACAUGAGGUUCACCUCAAGCCUGUCCGGGUCCUUCUGGAUGCCAUCCCGUCCCUCCAGCAUGUUGACCCCCCUCUACUUCUUGAGGUGGGGUGGAACACAGAGGACACUCUUUCUCCCUGACAGGACCUGGCUGAGGUGUGCAAGCGGGACGGCGCCGAGCGGGACGGGAAGGACGUGGACCGGGUGGUGGGCUUGGGCAGCUCCAGCGGCAGCGCCGGCCGGGUGAUGCUCUCCAAGGAGGACAAGGAGGCGGCCAAGAUGGGGCUCUCCAUCUUCACGCACCAGAAAGUCUCCAGCAGCCCCGAGAUGUCCAGCUCCAAGAAGAAGCAGGAGAAGGAGGAGAAGGUGGAGGAGAAACGACCGGAGAGCGGCAAGAAAUCCAAAAAGGAGAAGAAGAAAAAGAAGAAGAAGAAACACAAGAAGGAGAAGAAGAAGGACAAGCACCACAAGAGGGAUGCUUCCCCCUCGUCUUCCGAUUCUUCUCCGGAGCGGGAUGAGAGGCACCACCGAAGGAAAACCCAGCAGCGCCCCAAGACCUCGCGUCACGGCGGGCGGCGGCGGCGGCACGACACGGAUUCCUCUGCCAGCAGCCGGGAUUCGGGCCGGAGCCCCUCGCCCCGUCCUGCCCGUCGGAGGAGCCGGAGCCGCGACGGCCGCGGUCACCACCCGUCCCCGCGCCGCAAGGGGAGGAAGAGGAGCAGGAGCCGGUCCCCUCCGUCCCGCGGGGUCCGACAACGCCACGACACCGAUUCCGAGGACUGAGAGGGAACCUACGGAGCUUUGGUUUGGUUGGUUGGUUGGUUUGUUUUUUUUUUCCCAGAGAGAUGUCACGCAGGCUAGAUAUUUUUUUAAGGUUAUUAAAUUAAAAACGCCGCAGCUUUGCGGUUGCCGGGGUUGAGCCCAGCGAAGGGCAUUCGGUUUUGCGGUGCCAGCUGCCCCUCCCCUGCCCGCAGCUCUUGCUCUUCAAGCUGGGGUGGCACCAGCAGCUCCCGCCGGGGGUGGGUCCCAUCCGUGGAGGCACCCGGGCACCCUUCUCGCUUCCUGGAUCCAUCCAUCCCGGUGGGAUUUAGCUCGGAGGACGGUGUGAGGUGGGUGCUGGCGCUGGGACGGGCCCGGCUGCGACGCUGGAAAUGCUGCGGAUGCCUCGGGUUUGUGUAAAGAGACUUUGGAUGCAGUUAUUAUGAUGAUGAUGAUGAUGAGUUUUUUUAAGUAUCUUCUUUCAGUGCCCUCGAGCAGCUGCCAGCGAAGCAGCUGGAGGGGACCUUCUUUCCUCCAAACCCUCCCUGAAGUCCAUCAGCCGCAAAAUAAAACCGGGGGUUUGUGCGCUGCCGGGAGGGUU
This is a long non-coding RNA of Calidris pygmaea (Spoon-billed sandpiper), 1726 nucleotides long. The record is from Ensembl. Lineage: Eukaryota; Metazoa; Chordata; Aves; Charadriiformes; Scolopacidae.